RNAcentral lists this ribosomal RNA (440 nucleotides) under uncultured bacterium. RNAcentral's name for it is "partial 16S ribosomal RNA". It matches the Rfam family "Bacterial small subunit ribosomal RNA", at positions 338 to 795 of the family's 1533-position model. The record is from RNAcentral.
CCUACGGGAGGCUGCAGUGGGGGAUAUUGCACAAUGGUGGGGACCCUGAUGCAGCGACGCCGCGUGGGUGAAGGAGCGUUUGGGCGCGUAAAGCCCUAUCGGCAGGGGAGAAGAUGACGGUACCUGACCAAGAAGCCCCGGCUAAAUACGUGCCAGCAGCCGCGGUAAUACGGAGGGGGCAAGGGUUAUCCGGAUGUACUGGGGUUAAAGGGGGCGCAGACGGCAAUGCCAGCGAGGAGUGAAAGCGCGGGGCCCCAACCCCGGACUGCCCUUGGAACUGCAGGGCUGGAGUACAGGAGGGGCAGGCGGAAUGCCUAGUGUAGCGGUGAAAUGCGUAGAUAUUAGGAGGAACACCGGUGGCGAAGGCGGCCUGCUGGACUGUGACUGACGUUGAGGCACGAAGGCGUGGGGAGCAAACAGGAUUAGAUACCCUAGUAGUC